CGGACGGGUGAGUAACACGUAAGGAACCUACCGAUAAGCGGGGGACAACAUCCGGAAACGGGUGCUAAUACCGCAUAGGAAGUUUGUUCGCAUUAACAAACUUAGAAAGAUGGCUCUGCUAUCACUUAUCGAUGGCCUUGCGGUGCAUUAACUAGUUGGCGAGGUAACGGCUCACCAAGGUGAUGAUGCAUAGCCGACCUGAGAGGGUAAUCGGCCACAUUGGGACUGAGACACGGCCCAAACUCCUACGGGAGGCAGCAGGC
Molecule: ribosomal RNA, 263 nt
Filed under: uncultured Aerococcus sp.
Lineage: Bacteria; Bacillati; Bacillota; Bacilli; Lactobacillales; Aerococcaceae
Description: partial 16S ribosomal RNA
Rfam family: Bacterial small subunit ribosomal RNA
Source: RNAcentral